Molecule: long non-coding RNA, 729 nt
Organism: Spodoptera frugiperda (fall armyworm)
Lineage: Eukaryota; Metazoa; Arthropoda; Insecta; Lepidoptera; Noctuidae
Exons: 2
Source: RefSeq, a predicted model, not a curated record
AAGUAAUCAUAUUCAACCAUACAAAAUCAAUAAAUAAGACCGUCAAUCAAAAUUGAUUCGUCGCCCCUGGAUAUUAGGUCCUUAAUUGAAUUGUAGCUGGUAUAUAAAAGAGCUUGGUGUAAUGGUAUUGGUGACUGUAAGACGAGCCCUCAGCACGAUGAAGUGGCUCGCGUUACUGUUCCUGAUGCUGGGCGUGAUGUCAGCCAUGGCUGACGAUAUAGACUCCAGGGAUGGAGCGCCAGACUACACCAGUAGGUACGCUGAACUGGCGUCACCGUUACCAUCUCAUAUCAACGUCCAGGACCUGCUCUCUUCUCUUGCAGCCGCCAGCCACCUACACUAACCAACCCAGACCCUCAAUUCUCCAAAAACAUGACCCUGAUACUAAAACUCAAAUAUCUAUAAUACUUUGUGCUAUACAGAUCACAGAAUUUAUUUUAUGACACAAAAAAUAUGUAUUUAUGACACAAAAAAUAAUUAAUUUAUGUUUUUUAAAAUACGAAUUUUUAUUUCGUAUUUCUUUUUAUGAAUCAUAAAUGUAUUUUUAAUUUGAAAUUCUGUGAUCAUUUUUGUUUGAUUGAAGUAAACCCCACUAGUGCUUUUAAUUCGAGUUUUGUGUUUUAUAAUGCAAUUUAUUUUAUUUAUAUAAAUAUGUGUAUUAAUGAUCAAAAGUGUGUAACGCUUCUGAAUUUGUAUUUAUUUUUAUAUUAAAGUGUAAGUUUGCUCGUU